Lynx canadensis (Canada lynx) is the source of this 2051-nucleotide long non-coding RNA. RefSeq lists it as uncharacterized. The record is from RefSeq and is a predicted model, not a curated record. Lineage: Eukaryota; Metazoa; Chordata; Mammalia; Carnivora; Felidae. The transcript is spliced from 3 exons.
CGAACUUGCCGUCAGCAACCGUUCGUAGGAGGGCGUGCGGGUGGAAAGGACACAUUCCGGAAUCAGAAGACAGGGAACGAAGAAGCGGGAGCCCCGGUGGAAGAUUCCGAAGAUUGUCCUGUGAAGUGUGAUGGGACAGCCUCUUUUCAGCUUCUCCGAAAAUGGAGACAGAGAGGAAAACUGCGGGUCUUGCCAAGGGCACGAGAUCAGAAUCCAGAGCCACGCCACUCCAGGACACUGGAGAUGGUCACAUCAAGCAGAAGUCGAAGCUGCGGGAGCCGCUGUCCUGAGGCUGCAGCGGGCAGGGGCCAGGAUGGAGGAGGCGGCCCUGGGCAAAGGGGCAAGCUCCACCCCUACCCGUGCCCACCUAGGACUUGGCAAAGGACCUGGGGACACGCGCCCUGACCGUCCAUCCUGCCGGGAGGGGCCUCUGCCUUUGGCCAGCGGGCCCCCGUUUCUGCCCUUGUCACACCACGUGCCUGUUUCAGGUCUGCGGUACUCUGACCAGGCCUCCAGCAGACAGAAGCUCUUUGCUCUCCGUACGUCCGCCCCAGAGGACCGAGGGCAGCAGUCUGCGAGGUGGCCAAAGCAAGGGGCUCCAGCCUUCUAGGAGUUAACGACUCCCUCUCCCCAGCUGUCCUCCCCUUGGUGCUCCUCUUCCUCCCUCCUCCCGCUCACAGCAGGCAGGGCCUGGACCUGGGAGCCAGUGCCGCUGUGCUGUUGCCAGGGGAGCUGGGAGGCGGACCUGAGCUAUGCAGGGAAAAGGCCCGGCCUGUCAAAGUGUCUGAGAUGAACCGCCGCCGUCCCCGUGCAGCUGGGCUCAGACGUGUCUCAGCUCUUGUUCUGUGCCUGAGAAUGGCGAAGCCCAGUGAGGUUCAAGGGCACACUCACUAUUCAUUAGUCAGGGGUUCUUGACGUCCCGUCUCUCCCAGGGAUGAGAUCCCCCCCCCCCCCCGCCUUCCUCUUUCUCUCCCUCUUGCGACACAUUCCUGGGUGCCUUUGGCAAGGACUGCACCCUCCUCUUCCUCCUGCCCAACCCCCUCUCCGCAGGCCCCUAAACAGACUCCCCGCAAGGAGACCUGGCGGGGCAGAGACAAUGGCCACAGGAAACCAUUCAGGCGGGACUCUAGCCAUGCUGGUCCGCCCUCUGCUCCCAGCACCCUUGUGGCCCCCACCCCCCUCUGACUCAGGGUCCCCCUGGGCCACCGGCAUGCACAAGCCCAGACAGGAGGAAGCCACUGGGCGUUGCCCUUGGGACAACAGGCCUGUUCUCAGCGGGCCCCCGGAUCUCACACAGCUGGCUAUUUUGGGGCCUCUCUCUAUCAUCAUGUGUCUAUUUGAAGACACUGUCAAACACUGUUGGCUGGAAAAUGUAAAUUGUACAGUAUUUUCUGAAAUGUGGCAUUAUCACAAUGUAAAAGACAUAUAUAUACUCAGCCACAAGCAAAUUGCACUGCUAGGAAUUCACUCUACGGUUAUAUAUGCAAAAAUUUCCCAAGAAGUCUGUACAAGGAUGUUCGUCAGAGCGUUUCUCUUUGAGAGUAUAAGACAAUGGAAAUGAACCUGUGGGCCAUUCAUACUGUGGAAUAUUAGACAGUCGAAAAAAUCACUGUGGCAGAGCUCUCUGUAUAAACUGAUCCAGGAAGUUGGCCAGCGUGUUUGUUGCCUGAGGAGAAUACACUGCAGAACAGGCAAUAGAGCUCGAUCUUACCUGUGUGUAUUGAAGUCAGUCCUAAGCAUAUGCUUCUAUAUGAAGAGUUUCUGGAACUCUGUGUUGGAAGCCUGUCUCUGGGGAUGGACGGAUGUCCUUUUCUCUACUGUUCUAUUUCCUUUCCAUGCACCUGGAAUACUUGUAUUGAAAAUUUUAAAGAGGCCGUUGAAUAUAAUAGGCUUAACUUCUGUUAACCCACAUUAGGGUAAGAGCUCUAAGCGGAUGCUGGUGAUGUUGCAGCAAAAAACAUCCCGGAGACUCUGCCAUUGGCCAUUUGCAGGCCUAAUAAUCCCCCAUCGUCAUCAUCAUGGCUGCUGUUGUUAAUUAAAGGCCUACUAAG